Molecule: ribosomal RNA, 497 nt
Filed under: uncultured bacterium
Lineage: Bacteria
Description: partial 16S ribosomal RNA
Rfam family: Bacterial small subunit ribosomal RNA
Source: RNAcentral
GAUGAACGCUGGCGGCGUGCCUAAUACAUGCAAGUCGAGCGAACAGACGAGGAGCUUGCUCCUCUGACGUUAGCGGCGGACGGGUGAGUCACACGUGGAUAACCUACCUAUAAGACUGGGAUAACUUCGGGAAACCGGCGCUAAUACCGGAUAAUAUAUUGAACCGCAUGGUUCAAUAGUGAAAGACGGUUUUGCUGUCACUUAUAGAUGGAUCCGCGCCGCAUUAGCUAGUUGGUAGGGUAACGGCUUACCAAGGCAACGAUGCGUAGACGACGUGAGAGGGGGAUCGCCCGCACUGGAGCUGGGACAGGGUCAAGGCGACUGCGGGAGGGAGCAGUAGGGAACCGUCCGCAGUAGGGGAAAGCCUGGCGGAGCGGCGCGGCGUGAGUGGUAGAGGUGUUGGGUGCGUGAUGCUCGCUUAUUAGGGGUGAACAGAUGUGUAAGUAGCUAUAGACGGAUUGACGGUACCUGGUCAGGAAGCAACGGCUAACUACGUG